UGCUGGGCUUGGAGAAAACUGCAGUGACCCUCUGCAGGCAACUGCUGUCAUCUGUCUUGGAAUAGAGGUGUUUAUGCGUAAUUAUUAAUACCAGAAAGAUACCAAACCUGUGGUUCUUAGUCUCACCAAAGUCCUCCAGUGCUGCUAACAUCUAUUAGAACAAGGCUGAGUGCCUUUCAGAGCAUCUCUGCUGACCCUUCUGCAUUUCUACUCACAUCUUUCCAAAAUGGAUCCACUUCAUGGAGUGAAAUUAUAUUGUCUUCAAGGCCUGACCCUAAGAAAUGCUAAACUUCUACAUUCAAUGUAUAGAACUGAAAAGAAUCUUGUUUGCAAGGUAUGCUAGCUGUGGAAGAGAGGAGAAAGAUGUCUCUUCAGAGCUGAA
This is a long non-coding RNA of Gymnogyps californianus (California condor), 382 nucleotides long. RefSeq lists it as uncharacterized. The record is from RefSeq and is a predicted model, not a curated record. The transcript has 3 exons. NCBI's taxonomy places the organism in Eukaryota, Metazoa, Chordata, Aves, Accipitriformes, Cathartidae.